Molecule: ribosomal RNA, 401 nt
Filed under: uncultured bacterium
Lineage: Bacteria
Description: bacterial SSU rRNA
Rfam family: Bacterial small subunit ribosomal RNA
Source: RNAcentral
AUUGAACGCUGGCGGCAUGCCUUACACAUGCAAGUCGAACGGCAGCACGGGAGCAAUCCUGGUGGCGAGUGGCGAACGGGUGAGUAAUAUAUCGGAACGUGCCCGGUCGUGGGGGAUAACGUAGCGAAAGCUACGCUAAUACCGCAUACGAUCUAUGGAUGAAAGCGGGGGAUCGCAAGACCUCGCGCGAUUGGAGCGGCCGAUAUCAGAUUAGGUAGUUGGUGAGGUAAAGGCUCACCAAGCCGACGAUCUGUAGCUGGUCUGAGAGGAUGAUCAGCCACACUGGGACUGAGACACGGCCCACGACUCCUACGGGAGGCAGCAGUGGGGAAUAUUGGACAAUGGGCGAAAGCUGAUCCAGCAAUGCCGCGUGAGUGAUGAAGGCCUUAGGGUUGUAAAGC